GGGAAGUUGGCUUAGUGGUAGAGUGCUUGCCUCAUAUGCAUGAGGCUCUGGGUUCGAUUUCUCA
This 64-nucleotide transfer RNA is filed under the name Dipodomys ordii (Ord's kangaroo rat). It matches the Rfam family "tRNA", at positions 1 to 62 of the family's 71-position model. From Rfam's summary of the family: Transfer RNA (tRNA) molecules are approximately 80 nucleotides in length. Their secondary structure includes four short double-helical elements and three loops (D, anti-codon, and T loops). Lineage: Eukaryota; Metazoa; Chordata; Mammalia; Rodentia; Heteromyidae. The record is from Rfam by way of RNAcentral.